RNAcentral lists this ribosomal RNA (437 nucleotides) under uncultured bacterium. RNAcentral describes it as "bacterial SSU rRNA". It matches the Rfam family "Bacterial small subunit ribosomal RNA", at positions 28 to 468 of the family's 1533-position model. The record is from RNAcentral.
GAUGAACGCUAGCGGCAGGCCUAAUACAUGCAAGUCGAACGGUGUCUUCGGACAUAGUGGCGCACGGGUGCGUAACACGUAUGCAACCUACCUUACAUUGGGGGAUAGCCUUUCGAAAGGGAGAUUAAUACCGCAUAAGACAGUAGCUGGGCAUCCAGCAGCUGUUAAAGAUUUAUCGAUGUAAGCUGGGCAUGCGUCCAAUUAGCUAGUUGGUGAGGUAACGGCUCACCAAGGCUAUGAUUGGUAGGGGUCCUGAGAGGGAGAUCCCCCACACUGGUACUGAGACACGGACCAGACUCCUACGGGAGGCAGCAGUGAGGAAUAUUGGUCAAUGGGCGCAAGCCUGAACCAGCCAUGCCGCGUGCAGGAAGAAGCAAUCUAAUGGGUGUGUAAAACUGCUUUUUAANACAGGAAGAAACAACUCUACGUGUAGAGUC